This is a long non-coding RNA of Oreochromis aureus, 4405 nucleotides long. The record is from Ensembl. NCBI's taxonomy places the organism in Eukaryota, Metazoa, Chordata, Actinopteri, Cichliformes, Cichlidae.
UUUUUUAUUCACAAUUGAAGUGUAACAAAUAUAGUUUAUUAAAAGUCUGCUGCUCAUUAAUAUCAUCUUAAUCCAUAAGCUCGGGAGAUUUUUAUAUAAAUGUCGAGCGGCCAGUUUGCCGGAAUGGAAUAUUUACAUUUUUACUCAAUAAUUAUAAUAUUAACACAAUAAAACAGAUUUCCCCACAAAAUUAAAAUAUUGCAUGUAAAUGCAAAGUAAACUAUGUGCAAUGGAAAGAUUAUCAGCAAUAUUUUGUACAGAUACAUUUCUGAGGUUCACAUGUUUAAACCCUUUAAAGGAGAUUGACGACCAUUUUGAGGAAUUCAGAUUGAGUUCCAGUCAUUUCUAGUGGUUGUGUACCACCAUGAAAAACAAAUGUCAGUGAUGUCUGUAUGAGACGUUUAAGGAAAAGUGGUGUAUAUUCAAAGAGGACUGACUGACUUUGGUUUGAAUUCCUGAAACUGGUGUAAUUCUCCUUUAAUAUUCACUAAUAGAAAGGCAUUGGAAAGCAACAGACCGUCAACACAAUAAUCAUAAAAUCACCAAAGACACUGCAGCUUAAUCAUGAAAACAACAGAUUAAAAAAAAAAUCAAGUCUGCAUGUGAUAAUGAACAAAAGCCUGACGUCACACAACGUGAAGCUAAAGCAAACACCAGAAACCAAAUACAUUCUCCAGAUCUCCUUUUGCAGGUAGUGAAACGACCAGUUCAGUGUCAAAUGAGAGAGAGAAAAAUGUUAAAAUGAUAAAAAUCCAGGUGGACACGAGCACAAGAGAAAUGAAAUUUUUUUUUGAAGAAAAGCUGGGACUCAGCCCUUUAAGUCUAAACAGGUCAAAUGUUUCUAAGAAUACAAACCUUCAAAAUAAACGUCUGCACACAGGGCUUAAAAAUCAACAACAACAACAUUUAUAAUCAUAUGUAUACUGUGUUCAACUAAUGCCUGCAAAGCAAUUUUCCCUGUUGGGAGAUUACUCCUCAAAAUGCUGCAAAUGACUGCUGAAAAUAUCAGGAAAUCUCACCCAUUCAAAUCUCUAUUAACGAUCAUAUUUACCUGAGGCUUAAAAAAAGAAAAGAAAGUAUGACCCACACACCAUUAAAUGUUUUGAUCUGUAACCGGACAGAAAUCAUCAGAAAUUUUAAAUAACUUAAUUCAUAUCAGAGUGAUAUCAGUACCUUAAUGCUGAAAUGUAGCCUUAACUCUUUCUCUCUUAUAUCUUACUGCACACUGGACAUUUUUGUGGGUUCAGGACUGUCCAACAUUUACAUGUUAGACUGUAACUUGACCAUCUCAGGGAAUGACGUGAUAGAGAAAAUACUCGAGCUGUUAGCUGCAGGUCUUAAAUGCAAAGUACAUAAAGUAUCUAAAACCACCAGGACCAAUGUGAAUGACCAAUGCCAGGUUCAGACUACACGACAUCAGCAAGAAGUUGAACUUGGGAACAAAAACUGGUGUUAUGGACGAAAAGAAUGCCUCACCACGUCCUGACUGCAGAAAGUGUAAGAAAAAUAAAAAUAACGCCAAGACCUUAAAAGUGAGGCUAAUCCUGCCUUCUUUCUAAUGGCCAUCAGGGGGUGACCUCUCUGGUCUCAAAAAGAAGUAUUUUGUCUCCACAGACCUCUUCUCACCAUGUUUUUAGAUACCACUGCUACAUGUUGUAGACUUUUAUCUUCUUUCUCCCAAAGUCUGCAUCAUUAAAGAGCCUGGCUCUACUGGAGGUUUCUUCCUGUUAAAAACAGUUUUUCCUUCCCACUGUCACCUAGUGCUUGCUCAUAAGAGAUUCUUUGAUUGUUGGAGUUUUCGCUCUAAUAUUUUAGAGUCUUUUGAUAGUAUAAAGUGCCUUAAGGUGACUGUUUUUAUCAUUUAGUGCGAUAUAAAUGAACUUGAAUUAAUUGUCUAAGAAAUGAUUCACAUUAGUGCCCCGGAUUCAAUUUAAUUCAGUUUUUUUUUUUUUUUAAAUAACAACUACUACAGAGAAAACCCAGCACUUGGAAACAGUGGGAAGGAAAAACUCCCUUUUAACAGGAAGGACGGCCUGGCAGAACCAGGCUCAGGGAAGGGAAGCCAUCUGCCGUAACGGGGUUGGGGUGAAACAAAACAUCCUUGUGAUUUCUUUGGUCACUAGCACAUUGCUGUAGUUCCUCAUAGUUUGCACGGAAGACGCUGACCUGCCUGCAAAAACUUGCUAGCAAAAAAAAGUGUCACUCAACCCAAAAACGGAGAACAUUUUCUUUCAAAAUAAAAGUCGAGCUUGACAGUUGGAGCCAUCAUGUUUCAAAACUUCUACUACUUUGAAGGAAAUUACGGUCUAUGUUUCUGGUUUGUGCUGCCCUUUUCACCGUUUCACUAGAGCGCAGAAAGUAGUUUAAGAGUGUUUGCAGACACGCCAGUGUCUUCCAUAAAAACCACAGGCAACCAUGGCGCUCAAUUUCACCUCAUCACUGUCUACAAUCUCCACCAAUCACUCAGGGAAUACACGCUUCUAGGUUUCUAGGUGGUAGCUGACAAAUUUCUAGGCCUCUGUGCCUGUGGGUGUAGCCAAUAAGUAAAAAAUAAGAUUUUGAAUUUAUAAUCUAAUCUGACACAUUAGAACUUGUCGUGUGGUCUGAGCCUGGCAUAACAGUCGGCAGAGAUCAAAGUAAUCGAUUACAAAUUAUACCCAGCCAGCUGAUAACUGUCACUGUUCAGUGUGUUAACAUUUACUACCAGUAAAGUAAACAUUUUCUGUAGUUUGCAUUUUUUUCAUACAUCAGACAGGGACGUGUACAUAUUUUAACCUUGCUGUUAUCAGCUCUCACUGGUUUCUGUGAUUUCAUAUAAAGCUGCACAGUGCGCUAACACUCUACUGUACAAUGAACACUUUAUGUCUUUAACUCUUCUUAUGUUUAUUAGUCACAUCCAGAGGAAAAAAAAAUGUCCCUACAGUGUAGAAAUAAACCUCAUGUGGUAGAUUUGGUCAUUUCCCAUAUAAACAGCUACAUUAAGCAGCUCUCCAUCUGUUUUGCUCUCAAACUUUUUCCUGUCUGCACACAUGGCUUCCACUUCCUGUGGCGUCCCAAGAUACCAGAAAACCAAAAAAACCCCAAAAAACAAAACCCCGAAACAAAGCAACCCCCCCAAAAAACAAACAUAACAAAACACACUGAAGCGAACAAAGACAAAAAUACAAACAAAAUAUUCUUCGCUUCACAUUGGAUGGUACAUUCAUGCGGCUCCUCUCCUCUCUAUAGGUUUUCCCAUCGACUCCCAGGUGGUUCCUUCGCCCCUUUUCUCUGCUGUUCUGUAAAGGUGCCAGCUCUUUAAAACCCAACACAAACCAGCACGCAGCUGUGAAGCUUUCUCUCUGCCAGUCUUUGUCUCUAAUCCAAUUAAAAACCCACAGUGCCACCUAGGGGUUGGCUCCCAACGUUUCCUACGUUCUCUAGCACAGAAUAAAUUAACACAAUCAGCAGAAUUACAAUAAUACAUCAUCACAUGGGUAAUAAAUGCCACUCUAACUAAACCAAACAGUAAGCUCUGCCGUCUGUACAGUGAUAGAAAGAACGUGAAGAGAUUGGUCACAGCUCAGAGAAUAAGAAACGAUAUGUCAGUGUUGGUAAAAACCGGGGCUUGAGCAUUUUGGGCUUUACUUUUCCAAACAUAAUGAAAAAAAUCUGGGAGUUUAGUAUUGUGCAAACACAGGACUGUGGUAUGGUCUGUCAAAGCUUCAUCUUUUGUUUUUACUGUGAAUUUGAGAUGGCAGGAAAUUAAAAGUUCUGAAUGCUUGGGGACUGAAUCAGGAACAAAUAGGCUCAUCUAAAGGGAGAGAAGUAAUGCUGUAGUGCUAUUCAUCCAUCUAGUUUAUUUUGUUGUUAGCCGACUGUUUUUGUAGAUAUUGGCUGUAGAGAUUUCUGCCCUUUCUUGAAUAUUGAACAGAUGGUGGAGACAUUGUGGCAACCUUUUAAAAACUAAGUCUUUUAUGUCUUGAUUUAUGCUCAAUCAUCCAAGUAAGUAAAUCGCCAAAAGUGGAUUCUGUUCAUCUGGACGUAGCGUUUUCAGUGGGGGAAACAUUCACUCAUCCAAGUGACUUCUGCAGUCUCAGCUAACUGUGGUUUCCCCAAUCUUAUGCACUGUUUAUAACACUGGAGAAACCUGCAGUCAGCUGAGGCUGAAGAAGUCACUUGGAUGUGUGACGAAACGUUUCCCCCACUGAAAACGCUACGUCCAGAUGAACAGAAUCAACUUUUGCGGAUAAACCUUUUAUGAAUCCACAAAACUCUACAAACAUUCUUGUGAGCGGUUGCAUGUAUUUUCUUUCCAUCAAUCCGCACCCAUUAAACGGCAUUUUCUCCAAAACUGGAGGACUCACACCAAAACAAUCUAGAUGGAUAAAACAACACUGCAGGUAAGCUGAAAGAUGCAUAACUG